GAUGAACGCUGGCGGCGUGCCUAAUACAUGCAAGUCGAGCGAACGGACGAGAAGCUUGCUUUUCUGAUGUUAGCGGCGGACGGGUGAGUAACACGUGGAUAACCUACCUAUAAGACUGGGAUAACUUCGGGAAACCGGAGCUAAUACCGGAUAAUAUUUUGAACCGCAUGGUUCAAAAGUGAAAGACGGUCUUGCUGUCACUUAUAGAUGGAUCCGCGCUGCAUUAGCUAGUUGGUAAGGUAACGGCUUACCAAGGCAACAAUGCAUAGCCGACCUGAGAGGGUGAUCGGCCACACUGGAACUGAGACACGGUCCAGACUCCUACGGGAGGCAGCAGUAGGGAAUCUUCCGCAAUGGGCGAAAGCCUGACGGAGCAACGCCGCGUGAGUGAUGAGGGUAUUCGGAUCGUAAAACUCUGUUAUUAGGGAAGAACAUAUGUGUAAGUAACUGUGCACAUCUUGACGGUACCUAAUCAGAAAGCCACGGCUAACUACGUG
Molecule: ribosomal RNA, 497 nt
Filed under: uncultured bacterium
Lineage: Bacteria
Description: partial 16S ribosomal RNA
Rfam family: Bacterial small subunit ribosomal RNA
Source: RNAcentral